AGUCGAGCGAACAGAUAAGGAGCUUGCUCCUUUGACGUUAGCGGCGGACGGGUGAGUAACACGUGGGUAACCUACCUAUAAGACUGGGACAACUUCGGGAAACCGGAGCUAAUACCGGAUAAUAUGUUGAACCGCAUGGUUCAAUAGUGAAAGAUGGUUUUGCUAUCACUUAUAGAUGGACCCGCGCCGUAUUAGCUAGUUGGUGAGGUAACGGCUCACCAAGGCAACGAUACGUAGCCGACCUGAGAGGGUGAUCGGCCACACUGGAACUGAGACACGGUCCAGACUCCUACGGGAGGCAGCAGUAGGGAAUCUUCCGCAAUGGGCGAAAGCCUGACGGAGCAACGCCGCGUGAGUGAUGAAGGUCUUAGGAUCGUAAAACUCUGUUAUUAGGGAAGAACAAACGUGUAAGUAACUGUGCACGUCUUGACGGUACCUAAUCAGAAAGCCACGGCUAACUACGUGCCAGCAGCCGCGGUAAUACGUAGGUGGCAAGCGUUAUCCGGAAUUAUUGGGCGUAAAGCGCGCGUAGGCGGUUUUUUAAGUCUGAUGUGAAAGCCCACGGCUCAACCGUGGAGGGUCAUUGGAAACUGGAAAACUUGAGUGCAGAAGAGGAAAGUGGAAUUCCAUGUGUAGCGGUGAAAUGCGCAGAGAUAUGGAGGAACACCAGUGGCGAAGGCGACUUUCUGGUCUGUAACUGACGCUGAUGUGCGAAAGCGUGGGGAUCAAACAGGAUUAGAUACCCUGGUAGUCCACGCCGUAAACGAUGAGUGCUAAGUGUUAGGGGGUUUCCGCCCCUUAGUGCUGCAGCUACGCAUUAACACUC
This 826-nucleotide ribosomal RNA is filed under the name uncultured Staphylococcus sp. RNAcentral's name for it is "bacterial SSU rRNA". It matches the Rfam family "Bacterial small subunit ribosomal RNA", at positions 60 to 869 of the family's 1533-position model. The record is from RNAcentral. Lineage: Bacteria; Bacillati; Bacillota; Bacilli; Caryophanales; Staphylococcaceae.